UACGAAGGGGGCUAGCGUUGCUCGGAAUUACUGGGCGUAAAGCGCACGUAGGCGGCUCUUUAAGUCGGGGGUGAAAUCCUGGAGCUUAACUCCAGAACUGCCUUCGAUACUGUAGAGCUUGAGUUCGGGAGAGGUGAGUGAAACUGCGAGUGUAGAGGUGAAAUUCGUAGAUAUUCGCAAGAACACCAGUGGCGAAGGCGGCUCACUGGCCCGAUACUGACGCUGAGGAACGAAAGCUAGGGGAGCAAACGGG
Molecule: ribosomal RNA, 253 nt
Filed under: uncultured bacterium
Lineage: Bacteria
Description: partial 16S ribosomal RNA
Rfam family: Bacterial small subunit ribosomal RNA
Source: RNAcentral